RNAcentral lists this long non-coding RNA (1160 nucleotides) under Astyanax mexicanus (Mexican tetra). RNAcentral's name for it is "lncRNA (ENSAMXG00005005563.1)". The record is from RNAcentral. Lineage: Eukaryota; Metazoa; Chordata; Actinopteri; Characiformes; Acestrorhamphidae.
CGAUAUUAAGGGGGGGGGGGCUUUUAUUUUGAAAUGUGUUCCUUCUCACGCUUGCCGCAAUGUUCAGUGUAUGCGCGCUCUGAGAAACAGCUCUGAGAAACGCUGAACCACUGGCUUGACCGCAGUGGUUCAGCGCAGGCGUCUCCCAGCGCGAUUGCUUGGCUCCCAGACAGCGCGGCCGCCCUCCCUGCCGGUGAGGCCGAUCUAAUAUCGAAUUAAUACAUGGUUCCCUCGGUUUAAUUUAGUAUUCCCUCUAUUAAAUGUAUUCUUCUCUUGAUUUAUUUUUUUGUUCCCUCUAUUUAAUUUAUUAUUUACUUAAUUUAUUCAUUGUUCCCUCGAUCUAUUUCACUGUUCGAUUCAAUUUAUUGUUCCCUCGAUUCAUUCAUCGUUCCCUUGAUCUAUUUCACUGUUCAACUUUAUUUAUGUUCCCUCCAUUUAAUUUGUUACCUCUAUUUAAUUCUUCGUUCCCUUUAUUUAUUUAAUUAUCCCUUUAUUCAUUUCCCCUUGAUUUAUGUCACUGUUGUCUCAAUCUGUUCCCUCGAUCUUUUAGUUCCCUCAAUCUUUUUCACUGUUAGAUUUAAUUUAUUGUUCCCUCUAUUUAAUUGUUACCUCGGUCUAUUUCUCAGUUUCCUCGAUCUAUUUCUCGUUCGGUUGAAUUUAUUGUUCCCUCUAUUUAAUUGUUUCCCUCUGCUCAUUGUUAACUCUGUCUAUUUCUCCGUUCGAUUUAAUUUAUUGUUCCCUUUAUUUAAUUGUUUCCCUCUGCUCAUUGUUAACUCGGUCUAUUUUUCCGUUCUAUUUAAUUUAUUGUUCCCUCUAAUUAAUUGUUUCCCUCUGCUCAUUGUUAACUACGUCUAUUUCUCCGUUCACUCAAUCUAUUUCUCUGUUCGAUUUAUUUUAUUGUUCCCUCUAAUUCAUUGUUCCCUCGAAUUACUCAUCGUUCCCUCGUUCUAUUCCACUAUUAGAUUUAAUGUAUUGUUCCCUCUAUUUAAUUCCUUGUUUCUUUUAUUUAAUUCGAUUCCUUUUUAUUUGUUUCCUCUAUAUUUAGUGUUCCCUCAAAUUAUUUCAUUGUUCCCUUGAUCUUAUUUCAUUGUUUCACCGAUUUAAAUUUAUUGUUUCCUCAAUUUGAUUAAUUGUUUUCUCGAUUCUUUUAUUACCUCGAU